This 294-nucleotide ribosomal RNA is filed under the name Burkholderia multivorans. RNAcentral's name for it is "partial 23S ribosomal RNA". It matches the Rfam family "Bacterial large subunit ribosomal RNA", at positions 1 to 290 of the family's 2925-position model. Lineage: Bacteria; Pseudomonadati; Pseudomonadota; Betaproteobacteria; Burkholderiales; Burkholderiaceae. The record is from RNAcentral.
GGUCAAGCGAACAAGUGCAUGUGGUGGAUGCCUUGGCGAUCACAGGCGAUGAAGGACGCGGUAGCCUGCGAAAAGCCCCGGGGAGCUGGCAAACAAGCUUUGAUCCGGGGAUGUCCGAAUGGGGAAACCCACUCCUUUUGGAGUAUCCAUGACUGAAUACAUAGGUCAUGUGAAGCGAACGCGGUGAACUGAAACAUCUAAGUAACCGCAGGAAAAGAAAUCAACCGAGAUUCCCAAAGUAGUGGCGAGCGAAAUGGGAUGAGCCUUGUACUCUUUAUUUGUAUUGUUAGCCGA